CCUGAGCAACGAAGUUUUUCUGGGAAAUUAUGCAAACCUCGCAUGGCGAUAACUUAUUACAGUACUCAUUGAUCAAAGACAAACAAUCUCCAACUAGACUGGUUAGACUGCCUCUUCAUCAGAUUCAAGUCUUCGCGAACCGGCUCUCAGCGAAUCCUCAGACAUGCCGGAACUGAUCGAGAUCAGGGUUUGAACUCGAGUGAUGCUCCAUCAAUGAAUCUAUGACUGCAUAAGAACGGUGAGAGAGUUGAGAGAGUUGUCGGCGAACUACGAAGGACCUCUUGGGUCUAUUUCUGGAACAGCAAUGCAAGUUUCGUGACAAUUAGUGGUAAAGUGAUACUUAAUGGGGAUUAUAAUUUAGGGGCGAUUUAGGGCCGAACACUCUCAUUAUACCUAGAACUCAGUUGAUCACACCAAUAUAAUGCCCGACAUAGGGCCCAGCAUUGCAGCCUCCUGUUACAUUAUUUGUUCCUUGAAAUUUGUGUCGUGUGCAAAGGUUUCGUUCCACAGCUCCACAGCAGGAAUCCCCACCGUAAAUACUAGAGAAUAGGAUUCUGUUAGCCACCCGCCACUGGCACAUUUUGGCGAUGCGGUGGCUGGAGCCCUUUACGCAGUAAACUAGAGGUUUGGCCAAACGUUGCUAGGAAGAACAGCCAGUUGCAACCGAUAUUCAGGGGUUUCGUCUCGACCAGGGAAGCCCAGUCGGAAGGUAUUCU
RNAcentral lists this small RNA (716 nucleotides) under Histoplasma ohiense. Its description in RNAcentral is "hypothetical lncRNA". Lineage: Eukaryota; Fungi; Ascomycota; Eurotiomycetes; Onygenales; Ajellomycetaceae. The record is from RNAcentral.